Long non-coding RNA from Cataglyphis hispanica, 1523 nucleotides. RefSeq lists it as uncharacterized. The record is from RefSeq and is a predicted model, not a curated record. The transcript has 3 exons. NCBI's taxonomy places the organism in Eukaryota, Metazoa, Arthropoda, Insecta, Hymenoptera, Formicidae.
CAUGCGAGUACAGACGUGUUUCUUACAUUCUUAUAAUUUUCGCGGAAUAUUUAUUUCAUAUUUUUGCUUUGAUUCUUUUAAGACAAAGUAAACUAUUAGUACUGAUAGAAAUGAACAGUUCGAGUAUUUGAAUGCAUACAUAAACCACAAUUAAGUGCAGUUUCCAAAUUACUUAUAUUUUUACGAUAAUGUCUCGACCGACGUGUUGACAAUUGAGUCGUCGCGCAAAACACUGAAUAUUAUAAUUUUUUAAUUAAACCAUGGAGGUUUAUGAUGUGCUGUGGUAAUUUUAUCAAUGACGAUUUUGCUGUUCUUCAUGCAUCGACAAUUUUGCAAUAAAGGGCUGUGAUACUGAAUACAGAUCCAGUUGAUAUUUCAGAUGAAACAAAAUCUUUCAUUGAUAAGAUUUCACAGGAUAGUAUUCACCUGUUUCAAAUAUAAAACUCUACUAAUAAUAAGAAUUUACAAAAAAUGAGUACUUUAUCUACUUUAGACAUAGAAAUAUGGGUGAAUAUGACUUUACAAGAAAUUGACUCUCUACUAUUGAAGCUUAAUUAUAAAUUAUUUUCUGAUAUGCCAUUGGUCAUAAAAAAUAAACAUUGCCAUGUGUUGAAAUCUUUAGAGCUCCAAAAAAAAUUGUUUAUAAAAAUAAAAGUUUUUAUGUUUAUAAUAAUGUAUUCAAUCAAUAAUAAAGAAAGAACAUACUUAGAAUUAAUGAAGACUUUAUCUUCUCUUAAUGAAUCAUUUAAGGAAGUAAUCGGUCAUAUUCAAACAUUGCAGAAUGAACUUUUAAAUUUAAAACAGAAAUUCAACAAUUAAAUUUAUAUUUAUACAAUGAUCUAUCUACGCAAAAUGAAAAAGGCAAUGAAAUUGAAGACUUAUUAUCUUAGGUAUCAUCGAAUAACUUAGCAAUUUUCCUAUCAUAAUUACAAGCAGCAUUUUACAGUCAUUUUACGAAAGCUAAUAUUGUAACAAUAUUUAAAUAUCUAUAUGAUUUUUCACUUUUGCGAAAGCUUGUUAAAAUUUAUCCCGGAAAAUAUUGGGCUUCGAAGCAUUAUCAUCGCUUUCUUCGCUUUCUUUUUGCAGUAAAAAUUUAUGUCGGUAAAAAAAUAAAGAAGAAAUGUCUUUAUUUUGCGAAGAUUUUUACUUUCUUUGAAAUCGGACAGAUCUACAUUAAUAAAAGAUUCCCUGGUAUAGCGACAAUUAAAAUUGACUGCUUAUAAAUUUAUCAGCAGUAACAAAUAGCUAUGUCUUUAAUAUAAAAACAAUAUUACCUAUGACGUUGUCUUCAUAUGUUUCUUUUCACCCUUAAAAAAACUUUACUAUGAAGAUUUAUGUAUUAGAUCAUAAUUGUGCAGUCCAUAUUAAUAAUACACGUAAUGCCAAUAGGUUUAAUUUUUGCAAAAAGACAAACAAAGAUAAAUUAUAAAAUAGAAUCGUUUAAAAAUAUAAAAUCUUAUUUUAGGAAUAUUAUGCUAGAAUAACUCUAAAUCUUAUAAUUAAAAUAAGUUAAGAAUAAUUAA